UGGGGAAUUUUGGACAAUGGGGGAAACCCUGAUCCAGCCAUCCCGCGUGUGCGAUGAAGGCCUUCGGGUUGUAAAGCACUUUUGGCAGGAAAGAAACGUCAUGGGUUAAUACCCCGUGAAACUGACGGUACCUGCAGAAUAAGCACCGGCUAACUACGUGCCAGCAGCCGCGGUAAUACGUAGGGUGCAAGCGUUAAUCGGAAUUACUGGGCGUAAAGCGUGCGCAGGCGGUUCGGAAAGAAAGAUGUGAAAUCCCAGAGCUCAACUUUGGAACUGCAUUUUUAACUACCGUGCUAGAGUGUGUCAGAUGGAGGUGGAAUUCCGCGUGUAGCAGUGAAAUGCGUAGAUAUGCGGAGGAACACCGAUGGCGAAGGCAGCCUCCUGGGAUAACACUGACGCUCAUGCACGAAAGCGUGGGGAGCAAACAGG
RNAcentral lists this ribosomal RNA (429 nucleotides) under Acidobacteriota bacterium. RNAcentral's name for it is "Acidobacteria bacterium partial 16S ribosomal RNA". It matches the Rfam family "Bacterial small subunit ribosomal RNA", at positions 355 to 776 of the family's 1533-position model. The record is from RNAcentral. Lineage: Bacteria; Pseudomonadati; Acidobacteriota.